GGUGAAACAGGGGAAAGCAGGGGAAAACAGAGGAGUUCUGUUUUGCAUUUGCACUGUGAUGAUGGAUGGGUUUGCAAGAAAUGGACACAGUGAGUUUUUGUUGAUAUUGUUUGUUUCCUUAAGGUUCAGUUUAGAGUUUUAUUUAUGUUAUGGUGUGUGACAUGGAAAAGAAUAGUAUUUCAGAGAUGCAUACGUUGUGGAUUUGAUUAUUAUGGAUUUUUGUUGAUUUAUAGAAAAAUGUUAGUAUCAUGUUCAGUGAGAAAAAUUGUUCUAAUUUUCAGUAUCUGUGCAUAAACUUUAAUUCGGGUAACUCUCUUAUUGGGUUCUUAUAACUAACACAAAGGCACAAGUGAUAAGUUUGGAUGACUUUGCUUGCAGCAUUAUGCAAUGCACAAGUCAUAAUCAUUGUCUGAGCUAAAAAACGUGGUUUAUGGUUCAAAUGAUCCUGUUAGGAACUAGUCCACCAAUGAUAAGUUCUUUUCCUAGAACUAUAUAAUGAAAAUUUUCCAGCAUGCUCUAUAUAUUAUCGAGUUCGUGUUUGAAUGAAAUAUGCUACAACUCAUGUGGUAGAACAGGCUUGCUCAAUGUGUUGUUAUACUUUAACAUCAAAUUAUGCAAUCGAAAAAAUCAUCCCUGGAUAGCUCUUCUAGCCUUGACUGCAAAAACGUUGCAAGAAAGUUAGCAGAACAUCUUAUGUUUCCCGUUAAAAGCAUAAUGUAUUGUGUCAAUAUACAACCCUGGCAUGCUAUUAUGACUGACGGUAAAAUGGGAGUUUCCUUGUUGAUCUCGCUACGAAUGAAAUCAUAACUGAUGUAUUGUUGGAGAAUGACUGCUAAAACCCCCACUGCUGUGUUUUAUAUGUUAAUGCAGUUGAGACAGCAGUAGUUGUGUUGCUUGCUUCAUAACAGGAACUUUUUUUUUUGUUCAUGCAUGAAAUUCUGUAAUAUAUUCCAAGAAGCAUGAUCUUGUUCUUGAAUAUCGAAAUUUAAAUACUGGUUGAGAAUAAGCUUUUAGUGGAGGAAACUGGGGGCGGUGCCCAGGUUGCUUCAGCUUAGUUAAACAACAGCAGCAUCAACCUGCAGCGCAAGAAAUAUCAGCUCAAUUUCAAUCAUUUGUGGUUAACCAGUAUUUGGUUAAAGUUUUGAUAGAAUUUGUUCUGUUAUGUCAAUUGAGAAGGAUGCACCCCUUUCCCUGGUGAUUGAUAUCAUUAUCGAGCAAGGUAAUGAUCACAGCCUUACUAUAUGAGUAACCUUCUUCCAUUAACUAAUAUGACUAGAUACAGUACUCUUUUACAAUAACAUCACAAAAACUAGUGUUCCUUGAUCAUUUAUCUCUUGAAUUCAUGCUUGUAGUUUGGUCUCCAAGUUCGCUGCUAAAGCAAAUGAAAAUAGUAUCUGUUUUCAAUGCUGCAGUGUCAAGCAAGAUAAAUAGGGAAGUAGUGAUAAGGUCACUGUAAAGUUUUUGCAAAGCCAGGUCUCUUUCAGUCAAGGUAUGAAAUUCAAGCCUUUAGACUUGAAAGUAUAGCACAUGGAACAGGUGCAUCUGUUGAUGAACUACAGGUUGAAGGGGUUUCUAGUCAUAGCGAUUUGAGGAAGAUUUUCUCCACUUGCUUCUGAUUCUAGUGAAGACAGUAUUUUCCCUACAACAUUCAAGAAAGUUGAUAAAAUUCUCCACGAGAUGAAGGAAAAAGUUGGGUUAGGUGGUCCCAAUCCAAAAGAUUCAUCAUCACAUACUCGUACCAACGAAAAUGUGCAUCAUCAAGAAUAGAUGUUCCUGAUUAUGGAGAAGAAAAAAAACAAGGUUUCAAAUGGCUCAUACAAUGUAAAUGUUAUGGCUUCCGCUUGCUAAAUGGAACAAACAACAAUAUUCCUACACAAAGCUAUGUUGUUGCAGAGCUUAGACAGAUUGGUGGUGAUGACCAUGAUGUAGGACUAUUUGGCAUUUUUGAUGGCUUAAUGAACUAUCAAACACCUGCAUUCUUGCAGUCUUAUCUCUUUAAGAAUAUCAUAGCGGAGCCUGAAUGCUGGUUAUCCACUGCAUAUGCAGUGAGGAGAGGAUAUCUUAUAACCAACAAUAACCUUGUGGAGAGAGAUUUGAGGUCGAUAUCGGCUUCAAGUGCUGUUACGGCAAUAUUAAUGAACCACCAUGACGAGUGGAUGCUGGUGGUAGCCAAUGUCGGCAAUUCUCGUGCUAUUAUAUGUUGUAAGAAUGGUAUGGCUAAGCAACUAUCUGUAAAUCAUGAUCUUCUUAAUAAAAUGGAAAGAGGAGCACGUAAACACAGA
Prunus dulcis (almond) is the source of this 2282-nucleotide long non-coding RNA. RefSeq lists it as uncharacterized. NCBI's taxonomy places the organism in Eukaryota, Viridiplantae, Streptophyta, Magnoliopsida, Rosales, Rosaceae. The record is from RefSeq and is a predicted model, not a curated record. The transcript is spliced from 3 exons.